This 406-nucleotide ribosomal RNA is filed under the name uncultured bacterium. RNAcentral describes it as "partial 16S ribosomal RNA". It matches the Rfam family "Bacterial small subunit ribosomal RNA", at positions 30 to 526 of the family's 1533-position model. The record is from RNAcentral.
AUUGAACGCUGGCGGCAGGCCUAACACAUGCAAGUCGAACGAGCGGCGGACGGGUGAGUAAUGUCUGGGAAACUGCCCGAUGGAGGGGGAUAACUACUGGAAACGGUGGCUAAUACCGCAUACUAUCGGAUGAACCCAUAUGGGAUUAGCUAGUAGGUGGGGUAACGGCUCACCAAGGCGACGAUCCCUAGCUGGUCUGAGAGGAUGACCAGCCACACUGGAACUGAGACACGGUCCAGACUCCUACGGGAGGCAGCAGUGGGGAAUAUUGCACAAUGGGCGCAAGCCUGAUGCAGCCAUGCCGCGUGUAUGAAGAAGGCCUUAGGGUUGUAAAGUACUUUCAGCGGGGAGGCGUUACCCGCAGAAGAAGCACCGGCUAACUCCGUGCCAGCAGCCGCGGUAAUAC